RNAcentral lists this ribosomal RNA (460 nucleotides) under uncultured bacterium. RNAcentral's name for it is "partial 16S ribosomal RNA". It matches the Rfam family "Bacterial small subunit ribosomal RNA", at positions 338 to 795 of the family's 1533-position model. The record is from RNAcentral.
CCUACGGGGGGCAGCAGUGAGGAAUAUUGGUCAAUGGGCGUAAGCCUGAACCAGCCAAGUCGCGUGAGGGAUGAAGGUUCUAUGGAUCGUAAACCUCUUUUAUAAGGGAAUAAAGUGCGGGACGUGUCCCGGUUUGUAUGUACCUUAUGAAUAAGGAUCGGCUAACUCCGUGCUAGCAGCCGCGGUAAUACGGAGGAUCCGAGCGUUAUCCGGAUUUAUUGGGUUUAAAGGGUGCGUAGGCGGCCUUUUAAGUCAGCGGUGAAAGUCUGUGGCUCAACCAUGGAAUUGCCGUUGAAACUGGGAGGCUUGAGUAUGUUUGAGGCAGGUGGAAUGCGUGGUGUAGCGGUGAAAUGCUUAGAUAUCACGCAGAACCCCGGUGGCGAAGGCGGCCUGCCAAGCCAUGACUGACGCUGAUGCACGAAAGCGUGGGGAUCAAACAGGAUUAGAUACCCCAGUAGUC